CUGAGGGGACGGGGUGGGGAGGUGCUGCUGUCGGGGGGAGAGCCGUGGUGCCUCACCGGCGUGUGAGCGCCUCCUCCGGGGAACCCCCGGCCGCCCUUCUGCCGCUGUGGGGCACUGCCUGCCGUCGGUGCCUUCCUCUUGCGAGCGCCCUGUCUGGGGGAGUGCACUCUUCCCAGCGCUGUGGGGGAUGGCGGUGCUUUGUGGGCGCCGUUCCCCUCGUUGCUAUGCAUGUGUGCCUCAUCUCUCGUCGCCUGCUCUGGAUCCUCGUUUGUCCACAAGGGGCUGUUUCCACUCGUGCCUCAUGGAAAAAAGGUCAUCCUGUGCCUAGGUGCUAAAUGGCCUUUGUUGUCAUGAUGUCUUGCCCUAUUAAUUCAUCUGUCCUCCUCAGGUCAUCCCUGUAAAAACAAGCAACUGUUACUCCCACUUCACAGCCGAGGAGCCAAAAGAUGGAAAAAGUCAUUUCAAUAUAAUCAAUCUCACAGGUUAUGGAGUUGAAUCAGCUCAGGGAAGGACUAAAAGAUUACCAGUGUUGGAACAAGGCAAGAACACUAUCAAAGGGAGCGCAACCUCCUGUCUUAGCAGUAAAGGACCAUCAUGCUGCCCCUACUUCUCACUGCCAUGGAGUCUUCUACCUACCACAUUUCAUCUCUUUCCUUAAUGGAUUGGGACAUAUGUUUUGUUUGCUACAGCAAUCACCAAGGAAGAGGAAGCAUUUGGUUGCUCUUAGCUAUGUCUGCAAUACUGUGGUUAUUUGCUAUUCCAAGUAGACAGAGGUGAUGAUAACUGCUGGCACACACACUGGCUUGCUAUUAACCACUAAAUCCAAGCAGGCACAGAGUCACCUUUAUACAAGCACAUCUUGCGCAACUGUAGGUUGUAGUAUUACAUCUCUGCCUCUGUCAGUUCACUUACUUUGUCCGAGCUCUGCUGUUGGCUUGUGACAAACACAGGCAUUCCCAGAUGCGUAGCUGACGUUCGUCAUGUUGGACACAACAAACUUGGGUACUGCUGUGUUCAAGGGUCAGGAUCUUCAGUGUCAGUAGUAUAUAUAACUGGUGAAAUUAUAGGUUUUAGACUCAGUUGGGAAAACUGAGGAGAAACACUACUUCCCUUUACCUGGUUGUUCCUUUAAGUAGACGUGAGUAUUUCAAGAAUGCUUUGGCAGAACCCCAAACAUUAGUUGGCUUAGUUUGUGAACUUCUUAUGGAAAACUUUUUGGAAAUGCUUAAAAGGAGACUGCUCUCUAAGUUGUUUAUUUAGAAGUCUCUGGUUUUGGUUUUCAGUAAAUCCCAAAUUAAGCCAGAAUUAGACAGUGAUAUUUUGUAUGUUAAAACCUGAAAUAUCACCAGAUGCACUUCUGCAGAAAGAACAGUCAGCCCUGAAGAUCUUCAUGCUUGAUUUUUCUUUGCCUUGAGCAAAGGGAAAAAAAAGUACCGUGUGGAUUCAGCAGACUCAUGCAGGGAUCUCAUUCCUCCUCUGCUGUCUAUAAUUGUAGGUGGAAGACUGGCUAUGAAAUACAGUCUCACUGCUAAAUUUUUGAAAGCAAUGUACACUGCAAAGAAAUGUGUAAAAUAUAUUGUGCCAGGUUUCUUUCUGACAUGCUAUCCAAUUACCACUUUUUUAGUAUUUGGCCUCCAAAUAAAUGUUUCAUGUGACUUUGAAACCUCUUGGCUUUUUAUAUAUCCAAUGUGAAUUUUCAAUGAAAUAAAAAUAAAAAAGUUAUAGAAAUAUAUAUCUGCAUGUGCGAGGAUAUGCAGUUCUUGUAAGACCUUGCAUUGAAAAUGUUGCUAAAAUGUGUA
Molecule: long non-coding RNA, 1799 nt
Organism: Cygnus olor (mute swan)
Lineage: Eukaryota; Metazoa; Chordata; Aves; Anseriformes; Anatidae
Exons: 3
Source: RefSeq, a predicted model, not a curated record